AUCCUAUCUCCUCUCUCCAUGAUGGUUUGGGCGAUAUUAUGCUUGCAUGCUAACAGGCAGGUGUGCGCACAGGUGAAGUAUAGGCAGGUAGCGACGGCAUGGAGCUCAAGCGGCACAACUCGCAGCGGUCGAUGGCUGGAAGGUCGAGUGGGCGGCUCGCGGCGACUGGCGGCGGUGAUGGUAGAGAGCGCGAGCGCAGCAGCUGCAUGAGCGAGUUGCGGAGGGAGCAGAGCAGCAGCUCUGCCAGCUCUUGAGGUUGGGAAACGGGAGAUAAAUAGAAUGGCGGAGGGAAUGAGAAGAUAAGAUGAAGAAGAUGGCACGUGAGCUGCUGCGAAGGUUCCUGCAUUGUCACUGAAGAUGCGCAAAGCUGUGCUGUUGCCUAUGGAUAACUGAAACUAAAUUAUUGUGCCAAUCGAACCUCUUCACCAACAAAAUACCUAAGAUUCUAACGAUCCGAAAUGAAGAUUCUUUUCACUGUUGAUGAGUGGGUUGGGCAAAACAGCAAAUACUAAUAGGAAGUGGAUGAGUUUUCCUUUGAACAAACGGGAACCUGAUCCUCU
This is a long non-coding RNA of Panicum hallii, 560 nucleotides long. RefSeq lists it as uncharacterized. The record is from RefSeq and is a predicted model, not a curated record. Lineage: Eukaryota; Viridiplantae; Streptophyta; Magnoliopsida; Poales; Poaceae. The transcript has 3 exons.